CAGCUACUUUCUCCUCUUCAUUUCAGCCUCGUUGUACACAUGGAACAUUGGCUGUGGAUUAUUCUUGCUGCUCUUUGCUUUGAGUGUAAAGGAGAAGACAGAGUGAUCCAGCCAACAGCAGAUGUCAUUGCUACUGAAGGAGACACAGUUACACUGGACUGUACAUUUGAGACCAGUUACUCAGGUUCCACUUUGUUCUGGUACAAACAAGAAGAAAAUGAUUUCCCCAAACUUGUGCUUCGACGGUUCUCUGGAGGAACAAGUAAAAAUGAAGAGCAAGAAAGAAUUGAUGCUACAGUCAACAAGACAUCAGUUCCUCUGAAGAUCCAGAAGCUUCAGCUGUCUGACUCUGCUGUGUACUACUGUGCUCUGCAGCCCACAGUGACAGGAAACAGCAAAACUCUGCACAAAAACCUCUGCAGCAAACACAACACAAUACUCCACAACGUCCACUAGAGGGAGUCACACACUGCUCAAUUUCAACAGGAUGUGAU
Non-coding RNA from Chelmon rostratus (copperband butterflyfish), 494 nucleotides. Lineage: Eukaryota; Metazoa; Chordata; Actinopteri; Chaetodontiformes; Chaetodontidae. The record is from the annotation of a RefSeq genome assembly.